ACCCCCGUAGCGUAGCGGUAGCGUGCGCGUUUGUGAUGCAGGAGGUCGUGGGUUCGAAUCCCCGGCGCCC
Molecule: transfer RNA, 70 nt
Filed under: Hordeum vulgare
Lineage: Eukaryota; Viridiplantae; Streptophyta; Magnoliopsida; Poales; Poaceae
Description: tRNA-OTHER
Source: RNAcentral